RNAcentral lists this non-coding RNA (21 nucleotides) under Arabidopsis thaliana (thale cress). The record is from RNAcentral. Lineage: Eukaryota; Viridiplantae; Streptophyta; Magnoliopsida; Brassicales; Brassicaceae.
UGCUAAAAUGAGUUCUUGCCU